Podarcis lilfordi (Lilford's wall lizard) is the source of this 73-nucleotide non-coding RNA. Lineage: Eukaryota; Metazoa; Chordata; Lepidosauria; Squamata; Lacertidae. The record is from the annotation of a GenBank genome assembly.
GCUGGGAUAGCUCUGUCGGUGGAGCAAGAGACUCUUAAUCUCAGGGGCGUGGGUUUGAACCCCACGUUGGGCA